UGAUUGUAAUGAUAGUCAUAAGGCUGUUUCAAAACUGUGAGCUUUUGAUCAUAUCUCAAAUAGCAUGUUUUAUCAUCUCAAUCUGAUACUGUCCAACUGAGCUUCUUUCAUAGAAGAAGCAAUGUUAGCGUAGUUUAUAUUAUGAUCGUGGGUGUAAGAUUUUCUACAUAUUAACGUAAUUGGAUGUAUGAAAUAUGGAGAAGAUGCAAUAUAAAAAUGAUUAUUCUAUUUGUGAUAUCAAUGCGGUCUCUUAUUUGGCCUUUGUUGAAAUGCAGCUAUAAUAAUUAGGGUAAGUCACAGUCAUCUUUCUCAAGCUUCGAACCUCAUUGCAUUCUCGGCCCCAACUCUUUAUUUAUUUAUUUAUUUAUUAGAAGAAGCAAUAUUAGCGUAGUUUAUAUUAUGAUCGUGGGUGUAAGAUUUUCUACAUAUUAACGUAAUUGGAUGUAUGAAAUUUGGAGAAGAUGAAAUAUAAAAAUGAUGAUUCUAUUUGUGAUAUCAAUGCGGUCUCUUAUUUGGCCUUUGUUGAAAUGCAG
This 533-nucleotide long non-coding RNA is filed under the name Olea europaea (common olive). Its description in RNAcentral is "long non-coding RNA (OEUR_LNC003430)". The record is from RNAcentral. Lineage: Eukaryota; Viridiplantae; Streptophyta; Magnoliopsida; Lamiales; Oleaceae.